AUGGAUUCCAUCAUGGCUAACGGGACAUGGGAGAUCACUGACCGUCCCUAUGGUUGCAAACCACUGGGAUGUAAGUGGGUGUUCAAAAAGAAGCUUAGGCCCGAUGGUACGAUUGAAAAGUACAAGGCUAGGCUUGUGGCCAAGGGCUAUGACCAGCAAGAAGAGGAAGAUUUCUUUGAUACUUAUUCACCUGUGGCUAGACUGGCCACCAUUCGAGUAUUACUCUCGUUGGCGGCCUCAUAUGGUCUUCUCGUCCAUCAGAUGGAUGUUAAGACGGCUUUUCUAAAUGGAGAGCUAAAGGAGGAAAUCUACAUGCAACAGCCUGAUGGCUUUGUGAUAGAUGGUCAGGAAAGAAAGGUGUGUAGGUUGAUAAAAUCUUUAUAUGGCCUGAAACAAGCACCUAAGCAAUGGCAUGAUAAGUUUAAUACAACUCUGACAUCUGUUGGUUUCGUUGUUAAUGAGGCUGACAAAUGUGUAUACUAUCGCCAUGGUGGGGGCGAAGGUGGGAUCACACUUCUGCAAUCCCAUUACGUUGAGAAGGUGUUGAGUCGUUUUGGAUAUUCGGACUGCACACCAUCUCAAACACCAUAUGAUCCUAGCGUAUUGAUUCGAAAGUCCAAAGGCAUGGCUAAAGAUCAAUUGAGAUACUCUCAAAUCAUUGGUUCACUGAUGUACCUAGCGAGCGCAACGAGGCCUGACAUCGCGUUUGCUGUGAGCAAACUGAGCCGGUUUGUUUCCAAACCGGGUGAUGUACAUUGGCAUGCUAUUGAGAGAGUUAUGUGCUAUCUGAAAGGUACUAUGAACUAUGGACUUCACUAUACCGGAUACCCGUCGGUACUUGAAGGGUAUAGUGAUGCGAAU
This 861-nucleotide ribosomal RNA is filed under the name Triticum aestivum (bread wheat). Its description in RNAcentral is "partial small subunit ribosomal RNA". The record is from RNAcentral. Lineage: Eukaryota; Viridiplantae; Streptophyta; Magnoliopsida; Poales; Poaceae.